GGCGGUUGGCAACAUGAAAUUUGUUAGAAUACUCAAAGUAUUCUUGCAGUGGUGAACCAGCUGGUGGUGGAGAUUCUUUACCCUUCAUUUUCAGCACAGAGUCAGACUUUUCCAUUGUUGCAGCAGCAUUAAUGAGGUUGUCCUCUUCCCUUGAACUGCGGGAAGAGGUAGAACCAAGGCUUCUCAGGCAGCACAGAGUCGGACUUUUCCAUUGUUGCAGCAGCAUUAAUGAGGUUGUCCUCUUCCCUUGAACUGCGAGAAGAUGUAGAACCAAGGCUUCUCAUCUCGGAAGAUUUAAUGGAACUUCCACGGCCUGUUGACAGUGACCUGAGUUCUUGAUCCAUUGCAUGGAAAUCAUAUCUAGAAGUAUCGUAAUCUUCAGAAGAGAAGGUCAUGCUAGGACGGUUUUUAUGUGCAUUGGAGGAUGGAUUCCCUUCAUUCAACAUGACUCUAUGCUGAUGAUCCAUCUUGUCAGUGCUUUUAUUAUGUGCAUUGGAGUAUGGAUUCCCUUCAUUCAACAUGACUCUAUGCUGAUGAUCCAUCUUGUCAGUGCUUUUAUCCACUCGUUCUUCAAUAGAAAUAGCAAGUCUAUUGUCUAAAACU
Molecule: long non-coding RNA, 603 nt
Filed under: Nicotiana benthamiana
Lineage: Eukaryota; Viridiplantae; Streptophyta; Magnoliopsida; Solanales; Solanaceae
Description: long non-coding RNA (NBEN_LNC026550)
Source: RNAcentral